This is a long non-coding RNA of Herpailurus yagouaroundi (jaguarundi), 780 nucleotides long. RefSeq lists it as uncharacterized. The record is from RefSeq and is a predicted model, not a curated record. The transcript has 3 exons. NCBI's taxonomy places the organism in Eukaryota, Metazoa, Chordata, Mammalia, Carnivora, Felidae.
CGGCAGGGGCUGGGUCUCGCGAGCGUGGAGAUCAACGGACGUUGGUCGCUUCUCGGGGUCCUUCCGACCUUCUGAACUGGGGGUAUCGGUUGGGGCGGGAGUGAGAGGUGUUGAUGAAAUCUACUUCGAGGGUGUCCCCUUCUGCCUUCGUUAUACAGGAGAAUUUCACUUGUGGCUUUUGUGAGAAUUGCUGAGGGCCUGCUAGGACCAUUGCCUGUGGGGUGGCCACACAGCCUCUACUAAAUGUCCUCCCACCAGGGGAACUGCCCCUCCUCAUGUGGCCCAAGAAUCUCCUGGACUCUACUCCACUCCUGGAGAUUUGCCCUUCCUACCAGAGCACUGCCAGAUCAAAAGUUUCAACUUAAAGCCAAAGAGACCACUGCAAAGCAGAAUAAACUUUGGGAAAAACUUCUGUCAGGAAAAGGGUAAGGCUCCCGAACGCCUCUCUCCUGAGGGUGCAUUGCUGGUUCUCUGCUGGGGUUGCUGUGACACAGAAUAGCAUAACCACAAGGGGAGACACUUGGGACCAAUGACCUUCACCCAGAAGACUAUGUUUCUGAGUCAGAGAGUCUCUGAGUAUCAUGAAUUUGCAGAACAUUCUAAACCAAUUUCAGUAUUUAUUUGUGGAGAGUUCCCACAGGUAAACAUAUCCAUUAAUAUUACUUAGUGAAUGUUGACACAUAAUUCAGUUUUUGUUUAAAAUUAAAAAAAAAAUGUUUAUUUAUGUUUGAGAGACAGAGUGUGAGAGGGGGAGAGGCAGAAAGAGAGGGAGACACAGAA